GACGAACGCUGGCGGCGUGCUUAACACAUGCAAGUCGAACGGAAAGGCCCUGCUUUUGUGGGGUGCUCGAGUGGCGAACGGGUGAGUAACACGGGAGUAACCUGCCCUUGACUUUGGGAUAACUUCAGGAAACUGGGGCUAAUACCGGAUAGGAGCUCCUGCGGCAUGGUGGGGGUUGGAAAGUUUCGGCGGUUGGGGAUGGACUCGCGGCUUAUCAGCUUGUUGGUGGGGUAGUGGCUUACCAAGGCUUUGACGGGUAGCCGGCCUGAGAGGGUGACCGGCCACAUUGGGACUGAGAUACGGCCCAGACUCCUACGGGAGGCAGAGGUGGGGAAUAUUGCACAAUGGGCGGAAGCCUGAUGCAGCAGCGCCGCGUGCGGGAAGACGGCCUUCGGGUUGUAAACCGCUUUCGCCUGUGACGAAGCGUGAGUGACGGUAAUGGGUAAAGAAGCACCGGCUAACUACGUG
RNAcentral lists this ribosomal RNA (468 nucleotides) under uncultured bacterium. Its description in RNAcentral is "partial 16S ribosomal RNA". It matches the Rfam family "Bacterial small subunit ribosomal RNA", at positions 28 to 507 of the family's 1533-position model. The record is from RNAcentral.